Molecule: ribosomal RNA, 497 nt
Filed under: uncultured bacterium
Lineage: Bacteria
Description: partial 16S ribosomal RNA
Rfam family: Bacterial small subunit ribosomal RNA
Source: RNAcentral
GAUGAACGCUGGCGGCGUGCCUAAUACAUGCAAGUCGAGCGAACAGACGAGGAGCUUGCUCCUCUGACGUUAGCGGCGGACGGGUGAGUAACACGUGGAUAACCUACCUAUAAGACUGGGAUAACUUCGGGAAACCGGAGCUAAUACCGGAUAAUAUAUUGAACCGCAUGGUUCAAUAGUGUAAGACGGUUUUGCUGUCACUUAUAGCUGGAUCCGCGCCGCAUUAGCUAGUUGGUAAGGUAACGGCUUACCAAGGCAACGAUGCGUAGCCGACCUGAGAGGGUGAUCGGCCACACUGGAACUGAGACACGGUCCAGACUCCUACGUGAGGCAGCAGUAGGGAAUCUUCCGCAAUGGGCGAAAGCCUGACGGAGCAACGCCGCGUGAGUGAUGAAGGUCUUCGGAUCGUAAAACUCUGUUAUUAGGGAAGAACAAAUGUGUAAGUAACUAUGCACGUCUUGACGGUACCUAAUCAGAAAGCCACGGCUAACUACGUG